GGCCUAGUAGCUCAGUUGGCUAGAGUGUUGGCUGUACUACAGGCUUCACCUUGUUGUUGUGGGUUCAAAUCCCACCGAGGUCG
This 83-nucleotide transfer RNA is filed under the name Schistocephalus solidus. It matches the Rfam family "tRNA". Rfam says of the family: Transfer RNA (tRNA) molecules are approximately 80 nucleotides in length. Lineage: Eukaryota; Metazoa; Platyhelminthes; Cestoda; Diphyllobothriidea; Diphyllobothriidae. The record is from Rfam by way of RNAcentral.